CUGGCGGCGUGCCUAAUACAUGCAAGUCGAACGGUCUUUCUAUGGAAGCUUGCUUCCACUGAGAAGAUAGUGGCGAACGGGUGAGUAACACGUGGGUAACCUGCCCAUAAGAGGGGGAGUAACAUCCGGAAACGGGUGGCUAAUACCGCAUAGUUUUCUUGAUCGCAUGAUUGAGAAAGGAAAGACGGCCUUUGUGCUGUCGCUUAUGGAUGGACCCGCGGCGUAUUAGUUAGUUGGUGAGGUAACGGCUCACCAAGACGAUGAUACGUAGCCGACCUGAGAGGGUGAUCGGCCACAUUGGGACUGAGACACGGCCCAAACUCCUACGGGAGGCAGCAGUAGGGAAUCUUCCGCAAUGGACGAAAGUCUGACGGAGCAACGCCGCGUGAGUGAAAGAAGGUUUUCGGAUCGUAAAACUCUGUUGUCAGAGAAGAACAAGUUGGAGAGUAACUGCUCCAGCCUUGACGGUAUCUGACCAGAAAGCCACGGCUAACUACGUGCCAGCCGCCGC
RNAcentral lists this ribosomal RNA (511 nucleotides) under uncultured bacterium. RNAcentral's name for it is "bacterial SSU rRNA". It matches the Rfam family "Bacterial small subunit ribosomal RNA", at positions 36 to 518 of the family's 1533-position model. The record is from RNAcentral.